RNAcentral lists this ribosomal RNA (144 nucleotides) under uncultured bacterium. RNAcentral's name for it is "partial 16S ribosomal RNA". It matches the Rfam family "Bacterial small subunit ribosomal RNA", at positions 355 to 492 of the family's 1533-position model. The record is from RNAcentral.
UGGGGAAUUUUGGACAAUGGGGGCAACCCUGAUCCAGCAAUGCCGCGUGAGUGAAGAAGGCCUUCGGGUUGUAAAGCUCUUUUGUCAGGGAAGAAACACCGGCUCUAACACAGUCCGGGAAUGACGGCACCUGAAGAAUAAGCA